GACAGAGGGGGCAAGCGUUUUCCGGAGUUACUGGGCGUAAAGGGCGCGUAGGCGGCGCGUAAAGUCGGACAUGAAAUCAUUAGGCUUAACCUGAUGGCUGUGCCCGAUACUUACGUGCUUGGAGUGCGGGAGAGGCAAUCGGAAUUCUCGGUGUAGCGGUGAAAUGCGUAGAUAUCGAGAGGAACUCCGGUGACGAAGGUGGGUUGCUGGACCGACACUGACGCUGAGGCGCGAAAGCUAGGGGAGCAAACGGG
RNAcentral lists this ribosomal RNA (254 nucleotides) under uncultured bacterium. RNAcentral describes it as "partial 16S ribosomal RNA". It matches the Rfam family "Bacterial small subunit ribosomal RNA", at positions 524 to 776 of the family's 1533-position model. The record is from RNAcentral.